GGGUCAGUAGGUUGGUCGUGCCACCGGUACGUACUGGUCUCACUGAUUCCUCCUUCCUGAAGAACCGUAAUGCCAUUAAUUUGAUGUUGCGGGGAAACAGGACUGUUACUUUGAAAAAAUUAGAGUGUUUAAAGCAAGCUAACGCUUGAAUACAUUAGCAUGGAAUAAUGAAAUAGGACGAUCGAUCCUAUUUUGUUGGUUUCUAGGAUUGACGUA
This 216-nucleotide ribosomal RNA is filed under the name Glomeromycotina sp. Its description in RNAcentral is "partial small subunit ribosomal RNA". The stretch from base 40 to 216 matches the Rfam family "Eukaryotic small subunit ribosomal RNA", at positions 686 to 864 of the family's 1831-position model. Lineage: Eukaryota; Fungi; Glomeromycota. The record is from RNAcentral.